Molecule: ribosomal RNA, 256 nt
Filed under: uncultured bacterium
Lineage: Bacteria
Description: partial 16S ribosomal RNA
Rfam family: Bacterial small subunit ribosomal RNA
Source: RNAcentral
UACGUAGGAGGCGAGCGUUGUCCGGAAUUACUGGGCGUAAAGAGCGCGUAGGCGGCACGGUACGACCGGUGUGAAAGCCCCCGGCUCAACUGGGGAGGGUCACCGGUAACGGUCGAGCUAUGAGUGCAGGAGAGGGAAGUGGAACUCCGGGAGUAGCGGUGAAAUGACGUAGAGACCCGGAGGAACACCAGUGGCGAAGGCGGCUUCCUGGUCGUGCGACUGACGCUGUGGCGCGAAAGCUAGGGGAGCAAACGGG